GAUAGGAGAAUGAAAAAUUAAAUUUUUCCUCCUUAUUUUCAGCUUUUUCUUCCUGAAUAAAUUCAAAUUCAACUAAAAAUGCUAAAAAUCAAGAGUAAAGUUUUAAUUUGUCAUUUUCCUAUU
This 123-nucleotide microRNA precursor is filed under the name Gossypium barbadense (sea-island cotton). RNAcentral's name for it is "MIR7504 microRNA precursor family". It matches the Rfam family "MIR7504 microRNA precursor family". Lineage: Eukaryota; Viridiplantae; Streptophyta; Magnoliopsida; Malvales; Malvaceae. RNAcentral also lists the same sequence under 1 other name. The record is from Rfam by way of RNAcentral.